AAACCAACAGGGAUUGCCCCAGUAACGGCGAGUGAAGCGGCAACAGCUCAAAUUUGAAAUCUGGCCCUCGGGUCCGAGUUGUAAUUUGUAGAGGACGCUUUUGGCGCGGUGCCUUCCGAGUUCCCUGGAACGGGACGCCUUAGAGGGUGAGAGCCCCGUACGGUUGGACACCAAGCCUCUGUAAAGCUCCUUCGACGAGUCGAGUAGUUUGGGAAUGCUGCUCUAAAUGGGAGGUAAAUUUCUUCUAAAGCUAAAUAUUGGCCAGAGACCGAUAGCGCACAAGUAGAGUGAUCGAAAGAUGAAAAGCACUUUGAAAAGAGGGUUAAAUAGCACGUGAAAUUGUUGAAAGGGAAGCGUUUGCGACCAGACCUUUUCCUGGCGGAUCAUCCGGUGUUCUCACCGGUGCACUUCGCCAGGUCGAGGCCAGCAUCGGUUUCCGCAGGGGGACAAAAGCUCGGGGAACGUAGCUCCUCCGGGAGUGUUAUAGCCCUCUGCAUAAUACCCUUGCGGGGACCGAGGACCGCGCCUUCGGGCAAGGAUGCUGGCGUAAUGGUCGUCAACGAC
RNAcentral lists this ribosomal RNA (564 nucleotides) under Xylaria psidii. RNAcentral describes it as "eukaryotic LSU rRNA". It matches the Rfam family "Eukaryotic large subunit ribosomal RNA", at positions 62 to 648 of the family's 3401-position model. The record is from RNAcentral. Lineage: Eukaryota; Fungi; Ascomycota; Sordariomycetes; Xylariales; Xylariaceae.